Non-coding RNA from Cyanistes caeruleus (blue tit), 287 nucleotides. The record is from RefSeq and is a predicted model, not a curated record. NCBI's taxonomy places the organism in Eukaryota, Metazoa, Chordata, Aves, Passeriformes, Paridae.
AACUAAACAGAGCUAAUUGGUUUUGUUUGCUUAAGAGAAAGGGGUUUCCCAUUUGUAGAGAACUGUUUGCAGUUCUCUAUAGGAGGGGCUACAGGGUUAUAUAAUCUCAAGGCAGAACUGCUGAGAGCUUAGAUUGGGUUACACUGUGCACAAGAUACUAGGAAAUCCGGCACGAGGAAACAUGUCUGGAAAACCCAAGCUGCACUACUUCAAUGGACGAGGCCGGAUGGAACCAAUUCGGUGGCUACUGGCUGCAGCUGGGGUUGAGUUUGAAGAAUCUUACCUAG